RNAcentral lists this ribosomal RNA (857 nucleotides) under uncultured Bacteroidota bacterium. RNAcentral describes it as "bacterial SSU rRNA". It matches the Rfam family "Bacterial small subunit ribosomal RNA", at positions 58 to 914 of the family's 1533-position model. The record is from RNAcentral. Lineage: Bacteria; Pseudomonadati; Bacteroidota.
CAAGUCGCGUGCGCAGUUGCCGUAGCAAUACGGUGAUGGGCGCACGGCGCACGGGUGCGUAACACGUGGGCAAUCUGCCCUCCGAUGGGGAAUAACCCCGCGAAAGCGGGGCUAAUACCGCAUAACAUUCCUUGAGCGAUGGUUCGAGGAUUCAAAGCAGUAAUGCGUCGGAGGAGGAGCCCGCGCCCGAUUAGCUAGUUGGUGAGGUAACGGCUCACCAAGGCAAUGAUCGGUAGCUGGUCUGAGAGGAUGAUCAGCCACACUGGAACUGAGACACGGUCCAGACUCCUACGGGAGGCAGCAGUGGGGAAUCUUGCACAAUGGGCGAAAGCCUGAUGCAGCGACGCCGCGUGGGGGAUGAAGCUUUUCGGAGUGUAAACCCCUUUCGCCUGGGACGAAUGCCCGCAAGGGAGUGACGGUACCAGGAUAAGAAGCCCCGGCUAACUACGUGCCAGCAGCCGCGGUAAGACGUAGGGGGCCAGCGUUGUUCGGAAUUACUGGGUGUAAAGGGUUCGUAGGCGGUGUGGCAAGUCGGGAGUGAAAUCUCUGGGCUCAACCCAGAGGCUGCUUCCGAAACUGCUGUGCUUGAGUGUGAGAGAGGCUCGUGGAAUUGCAGGUGUAGCGGUGAAAUGCGUAGAUAUCUGCAGGAACACCCGUGGCGAAAGCGGCGAGCUGGAUCACUACUGACGCUGAGGAACGAAAGCUAGGGGAGCAAACAGGAUUAGAUACCCUGGUAGUCCUAGCCCUAAACGAUCAGGACUUGGGGUGCCGCCCGUUCGGGCGUCGUCCCGGAGCUAACGCGUUAAGUCCUGCACCUGGGGAGUACGGUCACAAGACUGAAACUCAAAGGAAUUGAC